ACUUGAUGGUCACUGCUGACCCUACACAGGACCGUGCUCAUCACCACAACUGUUCAGCUGAGUUCCGCAAGAGAAGCUGUAUGGUUGCUGUGUUUCCAGCACAGAUUCCCGUAGAUUACCACCGGCAUGGAGCGGCCUCUUCCAUCGGAGCCCUGUCUUAAGGAGCUGCUGAAGAUUCUACUUUGAAACUCCAAAACAUUAUGGGGAGAAAUUAAAGAAGACCCAGAUAAAUGGAGAGAUAUACCAUGUUCAUGGAUUCAAACACUCAAUGCCCUCAUGAUAUCAAUCUUCCCUCAAAUUUAUCUAUAGAUUCAAAGCAAUAAAAAUUACAGAAGACUUCCGUUUUAGGUAGAA
Molecule: long non-coding RNA, 354 nt
Filed under: Bos indicus x Bos taurus (hybrid cattle)
Lineage: Eukaryota; Metazoa; Chordata; Mammalia; Artiodactyla; Bovidae
Description: lncRNA (ENSBIXG00005010524.1)
Source: RNAcentral